Myotis myotis is the source of this 1968-nucleotide long non-coding RNA. RefSeq lists it as uncharacterized. The record is from RefSeq and is a predicted model, not a curated record. The transcript is spliced from 3 exons. NCBI's taxonomy places the organism in Eukaryota, Metazoa, Chordata, Mammalia, Chiroptera, Vespertilionidae.
CGUCCGCCAGAUGACACUCUAUCCACUGAGCCAAACCAGCCAGGGCCAUUGGUUGAUUCUUGCAUGUGCCCCAACCAAAGAUCAAACCCGAAACCUUGGCAUCUCAGGACAACACUCUAACCAACUAACUAAACUACCCGGUCAGGGCCAAUGGUUUUUGAGGGUAAGCAUGUCUCUUAGUGAAGAAUCAUCUGUUAUCUGAAAUUCAGAUGGGACUGGGCACGCCAUUUCUAUUUGCCAAGUCUGCCAACUCUUCCUACAGCACUGCCAUUGGCUUUCGGUCUAGAAGGUAAUGGGGAGCCUGCUGGGUUGGCUGAAGGAAGCUUGCACCCCUGACCCAGAGAGAUGAAAUCAUGACGUUUGGCCAAUGUUGAGAGGCUGUUUGCGUGGCUUAGUGUAGUUCCCCAGGGAAAGAUCAAAGGUUCUGCCUGUGCUAUAAUGUCACAUCAGUAAGUAUUCUACCACACCGGCUGAGACACCCUAAAGCAUGAAGACUGGGUCCUAUUGCUGUGACCCCAGGGCUCCCACCCCAAGUGGCACACGGGAGCAACUUCGGGUUGAUUUCGCAAACCUGCAGACACAUUCCAAUCAUCACCACAUCCAAAUGUGUACAAGAAAAUGCUGCUUAUCAAGUGUCACUCAGAAGUGAGGUUUCAGUGUCUGACAUUUAAUGGAAGGUUUCAGUCUGCGUAAAGCAGCGACUCGUGUGGACCAGUUGCUCUGGUUAUGGAAACGCAAUCAAAAACAAAAUCUCCUGUCCACUUAGAAAAACUACACAAAGGUAGAUGAGAAAGAAAACAAUGAUACCUGCAUCACAGGCAACCCAUAAAGAAAUCGCACAAAAACCUCACCUUUCCCUAUAGCCAGGCCGAUACCACCCAGUACCCCCAUGCUCAUGAGGUCAGGAAGAACUUGUCCUCAAGCAAGACAUGCCAAUGCCCUAACACGCCUUACGUCUGCCUGGUGACAGGUGGCCGCUGUGUUUGCUGACUGCCCCUCCUCAUCUGUCGCCAGACUGAGAGCCCAGGGCCCCGCUCCUAUGCAACAUUCAAACGAAUACUGUAUUCACACAAUACUACAGGGGGGAUGGAGUACAGAAGCACAGUAUCUAGCCCUGCGCCCGCCCCAAAUCCAUAGCCUCCGGAGCACUGGGGUAAAUGAGUGUCAUGUGCUCUCUGGCCACUAGAUGGCAUUAUGCAUGCAGCAAAAGACAGCAAGUCCACCAGUGUCUAAGCUAGGAGAGAGAGUUAAGCAAUUUAAAGUAGUUCAUAUGCAAGAGAAACUCGCGAAGGCCAAUACUUUUGCUCACUGCUUCUCCCAGGUAAGUGUGCUGCGCUGCAGGACUGCCUGGGAAAUGCGCCCCGUUACGGAAGUCUAAUAAACCUGUAGGCUCCUCUGGGGGUAGCACACAAGCGUCCUUCUGCAGUCCGUCCUGAGCCUUUCCUAGACACGGUGCUGCGCUUUGGAGGAAAGGAUCCCCGCCGAUGGGCUUACAAAGAGCACACUCAGCCUGGCGUGGGCUGAUUUUAAGAAGAGAUGUUGGCUUUUUCUGCCAACGUGGGGCCUAGGUUGCCGUGGGGGUGGUCGUGACAAACACUUAAAUCUAAAACCAACACAGCCUGUAACACACAGGCCAUCAAAGACAGAAAAUGCCAAGGCUGACUGGGAGAUGGGUUCGUUCCCACGUGAGGUGGGGGCUGGGGAGACCUGAGCAGUGUUAGAGGGGAGGGCGUCCCAUGAACAUGAAUAGGUCAACAUAGAUCAGCUGACAGAGACCUCACACAAGUGGGGGUACCACUAUUUGGGAAACGACGCACUGGACACAGCAUAGGGUGUGGGUGAAGAGGUGGGUACGGGCCACAGGCUAAGAUUGUGGGAGCAGAAUCUAGUCCAGUGAUGGCGAACCUAUGACACGCGUGUCAGAGGUGACACGCAAACUCACUUUUUUUGGUUGAUGUUUCUUUGUUA